Molecule: long non-coding RNA, 730 nt
Filed under: Rattus norvegicus (Norway rat)
Lineage: Eukaryota; Metazoa; Chordata; Mammalia; Rodentia; Muridae
Description: long non-coding RNA NONRATT021185
Source: RNAcentral
AACCAAUGACAGAAGAUAAAAUUCCCUUUAAAGAAAGUGGGAGAGAACCGUUGCUUUUGCCAACAAGAACAAAAAAACCAUCUCGAGUGACAGUUGAACCAUGUGAAAGUGAAAAACUCCAGCAAGAGCUUUAUGCCCUCAAAGCCGAGCAGGACGAUCUGAGGCUGCAGAUGGAAGCCCAGCGCCUGUGCCUUUUUGUGGUUUAUUCAACUCAUGCGGAUCAGGUUCGUGCAUAUAUGGAGAAGGAGAGAGAGGAAGCUCUGCCGUCAGAGUGUCUAUUGCCAUCUCAAGAAUGAAAUUUUUGGUGCGGCGGUGGCAGCAAGUGACAAGUACUAGCUCCAUCAAUAUUAACAGGGAUGGCUUUGGCCUGAGUCCAGGCAUUGAAAAGACUGACCCAUUCUAUCAUUCGUCUGGUGGGCUGGAGCUGUAUGGAGAACCAAGACACACAACAUACCGCUCAAGAUUUGAUCUGGACUACCCUAGGUCUCCCUUGCCAUUGCAGAAUAGGUACCCGGGUGCUCCAGACUUAAAUUCUACUUCAAUGGCUUCUUCUCAACUUCACCAGUACAAUCCUGAUAAAUCUCUGACAGACUAUGUCACUCGGCUAGAGGCACUGAAAAGGCGACUUGGAGCUAUACAGUCAGGGUCGACUACUCAAUUUCAUUUUGGCAUGAGGAGAUAAUCCUUUGAAAUACUUAUUGAAUAUUAAAUGGAUUCCCUUUUGUAAAUC